GUUUGCAGUAGCAGGCAUUUCCCUCACAGCUGCCUUUCAGCAGAAAGUCCUUGACCAGCUGUAGGAGAAAGCGAGCUCCAGCCAAUGCCCUGUGCGAUCGUUCAAGCGAUUUCCCCCAGGGCACUGCAGGAUUUAAGAGAAGAGGUGAAUGAUGUGUAGAGAUGGACAGACACAAAGAUGCAGAAGAGGCUGCUCUCCAUGAGGAGACGGCCUCACCAUGAUCUUUGUAGCCACCACUGCAGAGAGCAUCACCGUGGGCAGGUCUCAGAGAGGAUGAUGAGAUGCCAGCGGGAGGCCUUCUUUCAGGAGCUGGACCAACACGAGAGGCUUGCUGCGAGCUGGGGUGGACGGUGGAGGCAGAAGAGCUGUGGGAUCCCAAGGAAGAGCUGCGGCUUCUGGAGGCAACAACCAGCCCUAGGAGUCAGCUCUUACUCACGCCGCCUCCGUGGAAAAUAUAAGAACGGGGUUGGUAAUCUGGCUGUGACUAAGGAGGGGAACAUCCCCGCUGCUGUCGGUGUGGCCAGGAUUUCCCUCCACCAGCUCUGCGAUGCUGAGGAUACCGGCCCACCAGCAGCUGUGUCUGGCCUGGGAAGAUGAUCUUGGUGCUUCUGUGACCCCACAAGAUCCCAGGGGAUGGGCUGGAGGGGCUGCAGCGAUCCCACCAUGCAGGGCACCAGCACAGGGCUCUCUUGACAGGACCUCACCAGGACCCAUUCCUCUGCAGCAUCGCUCUGCAAGUAUCCUGCAGGUCUGUCCCGAAUCCUGCUCAUUAGAAAGAAAUCCACCCCCAGGAGCUGCGAAAGCCCCAGCAAUGUUGUGAAAGAUACCAGGGGCACUUGGGGCCAGCUGCACGGCCCUCACGGAGCAGGGAAAUGUUCCUGCCGGUGCCGGUCGCUGAGUCUUCACAUUCCAGCCCCGUGCUCGGAGGAACAAAACCUCUUAGCUCUGCACUUACUGGAGACAAGCUCGAAGUCGUCUGGAGUCAGGCGUUGUAAAAAUUUAAUGAUGCGGGACAAAUCGGGGUGACCAAAAUAGCCAUCGGGACAGAGACUGCCUUGUGAUGUAGCGCACCCAGCCAGGUCUCGG
Molecule: long non-coding RNA, 1086 nt
Filed under: Cairina moschata (Muscovy duck)
Lineage: Eukaryota; Metazoa; Chordata; Aves; Anseriformes; Anatidae
Description: domestica (muscovy Duck (domestic type)) lncRNA (ENSCMMG00000000864.1)
Source: RNAcentral